UGUGAACUGCAGGACACAUGAACAUCGACAUUUUGAACGCAUAUUGCGGUCCAUGCAAAAGUUUAAAUUUUUUUGUUUAAACUGCAUGGACCACGUAUGGUUGACUGUCGUAAAUAUUAAGCAAUUGUAAUUGUUUUUAUACACACAUUUGUAUAAAACAUUGGAGCUAUGGAAUUAUAUUUCAUGCUCUUAAUAUAUAUAGUUUUUAAAGCACAUUUGAAUGUACCCAAUGUAUAAUAUUAAAAGUUGAAAUAUAUAUAAGGGGUAUAUCAUAGUCAUUGGAAUAAUUUAUCUUAAAGACAUAUUGUUAUACAGAAAACCUUAUUAUUAUAGAAGAAACUUUUAAUAAAAUGGGAUUAUUCAAUAUAAUGUGGUACAAUAAUUUAAUAUAUUAUUGCGAUCUCAACUCAUACGUGACUACCCCCUGAAUUUAAGCA
Molecule: ribosomal RNA, 437 nt
Filed under: Phlebotomus salehi
Lineage: Eukaryota; Metazoa; Arthropoda; Insecta; Diptera; Psychodidae
Description: eukaryotic LSU rRNA
Rfam family: 5.8S ribosomal RNA (bases 1-110)
Source: RNAcentral